AGCCGCACCUAAUCAGCCUGGCAAUUUCCCUAAUCCCCCCUACAGCCUCUGAUGAUCUGAUCACAUGCCAAAAAGCAAAGUCUGCAGGUAACUGCCAGGAGGGGUGGCACGAUCCGAGCUGAACAAUGCUAGAGCUUGCAAAACCCUCCCUAAAAAAACCCCGAGGCUGUUCACAGACUGGCACAGGGCUGGGCUGGGCAUUUGCUGACCCUUGGUGAUUGCUCAGCUGCUGCUCGUUGGUGCUCCAGGUGCGGCACCACUUGCAGCUCUCCUCGUUUUGAGCCUCCCCCUCAUUUUAAACAUCUGUCUCCCAGUUAGUGCUCCCCAAAACACUCAGCUCAGGCACAAGGCAAGUUUUGUUUUUUUUUUCCCUCUCUUUCUUUCCUUAACAGAAUCCAGUACUCUAUAAAUAAAGAACACGACGUUUAUUAUCUGAUUUCUCCUGCAGGGUGGAAGCUGCAGGGAUGUGGCAGCGAAGUGGGCAGUGCUGGGUGGUUUGGGGAUGCAGGUGAGGACAGAAAGCUGCACUUCGAGGCGGUGAUGAGGAAAGAAGCCCCUGAAGCAGCAGACUGGCAGGCAGCAGGUCACACUUGCCAGAGGAAGAAGAGUUGGUGACUAAGAGGAAUUACAGCAGGCAAGCCGAAACAAAACACAAACAAAAGCCAGGGAAAGCAAAACCCGUGUGUUGCCUUUCCUUCCCUCCGACCUGCAGCAGAGCUGCUCAGGAGCCUGGCACGUGGCUGUGCCACUCUGGGACUUGGCAAGCUCCAGCCCAAGCUGAUUUCCACGCGAUUUGAGGCUUUCUUUGGAACUGCUGCAGCAUUGCUGGAGGCUGCUUCGCUCCGUGCUCCAGCCUUAUUAGAAAAGCCGUGUCCCAGCGGAUGCCAUUUUGGCACCUAUUAAACCCCCCCAAGGAACCUUUGUGGGUUAUUGCCUGUCUCGGAGCCGCCUUGCUGCCACUUCACCAUGGGCUGAUGUAGGAGACGACGAGGAACCCGCCAGGCGCUUCCCUCUGGGGCUUGUUGGCAGCCUGAAUUUUGGCUCGAGUCGCCGUGGGGCAUCUCCCCAGGGGCAGGCACUCUGCUGCAGGAGGAGGCCUUGGAUGAGUAACAGAAGCAGUUCAUAUUUAUUGCAAAGCAGAAGUGUUAAAUAACUUCCAGCAGAGACAGCUUUACUGGUGCUCGGUAGACAUGAAAUAAGGAGAAAUUCAGCCGUGUGUCUGUCUGAUUGCUGGUGGUUCCUGUAAAGGAUCGAAUGCUUUUCCCUAGGAUGUCAGAAGGUGGUUUCAAAGCCUUGGUGCAGGGGAGAAAAGCAACCCCAGCCCUGAUGUUUUUCGGAGGCAUUUACAUUUGCACUGCCAAAGGCUGGUUUUCCACCUGGGUACGGCAUUCCAUGGGCAUGAAAGAGCCGUGGCUGCAAACAAAUGCUGCUCGCCCACCCCAGACCCAAUUGGGUCCCUUCCACGUGGGUUACAACGUGCUGGGGCAGGGCUUGUUUCUAAGCAUCUGCUGCAGGAGAGCCCUGAUCCCGUCUGAGACCUUUUGUGUUGUCAUAAGCAUCAAAACAACACGCAACCUCAGGGCUUUUGUAGACUGUGGUCAGAGCAAAAGGGAAAUUUAUCAACAGGGAGGGAUGUUUGUUCCCUGAAAUGUGGGAGGUGAUCGAUGGGCUGGGAAGGGGAGGGUGGCCUGGCCCAUCCAUCCCCGCUUGCAGGAGCCUGGUCCUCAGCACCGCUCAGUAUUUGCCAUCUGGCACCUUUUUUUUUAUGUUUGUUUUUCCUCUUCUGGGCCCUGACGUGUUUCAGCGUCAGCCUUUUUGCUCCGGCAACGAAAGCGAUUCCAGCAAGAACCGUGCGCGUCUGAGCUGCAAGGUCGUUUUGGUUCAGAGCUCCCUGAACAGCAAGGACUAAAACCCCUCUGGUUUCUGGCUGUGCUUGCUCGGUGUUUCGCAUGUAAACCAGGUAGCCCUUACGGGAUAAUGGUUGCUUUUCCAGUUGCCACUACAAACAUUUUUGCCUAUCAGCUGAGCUCCAGCAGCCUGCGCGCUAUCUCUUGCCUGGCAUUAAACACACCAGCGUGAGCUGCCAAUAAAUAAUGCAACAGAUCCCCCUAGCCAGGACUUUUUCUUCUACUAAUAAGGAGAAAAAGAUGAGGCAGCAGGUAGCGUGGUUCAGCGGCUGACAGCUUUAGCCUAACCUCCCCCUGGGUUGUUACGCAGACGGUUUUCUCAUCCCACGCGCUGUGGGUGGGAUUUGCCUGGGUUUCGCUCAUCUCCCUUCUUGUGUCCUGCGCUGAAAUCCCCCCCAGAGGCAUCUUCUCCCUGGGAAAACUGCAUCCUGCAAAUCCUCCUUUGCUCCUACCCAUUUCUUCUUGGUUUACCCGGGUGCACUCUUGCAAGAGUGGAUUUUCCUCGCAGUACCCACGGGAUUUGUGUAGGUUUUGUUAUGGCCUGGCUACAGCCACUAAAAUCACCCCCCCGGCUGCUGAGUUAAGCCACGGGUGGAAACGUCCUGGCUCCGUGUGGGGCCUGGCUGAGGGCUUUGGAAGGACAAGCCCUGGAGCCUGCUUCCCCAGUAUGUUUUUAUGGACUUUUUAUGUUAAGGUGGGCAUUUCCCACUCACCUUGAUGACAAAUGACCUCAGUCAGCUUUAAUAAUCUGCAGCAGUGAUUUUCAGUACUCAAAUACUUAUUGUAGGGCCAUUUAAGAGCUUCUGACCAGGACAAGCAGCCCCUUGUAGCAUGGGAAACAUUGAUUGUGUAUGGGGUGAGCUCCACCCUUGUUCUGCUGCUGGUGGCUGGGCAGGGAAGCAGUCUCAUGCUGUGGUCUUAAAAAAAAAAAAAUAAUCAAAAAAAUCACUCUUUGCUGAGCCCACAGGACCAGCAUCAUGCUGAAGUGCAAUAAAUGGCUAAUUAACCUCACCCCCACUGCAAGGAAGAGUUGCUAAAGCCCUGUUGGUUUUAUGACAACGCCAUCUCUUAGAGCAGCGUUAUUUUUCUUUUCCUAUGACGGUCAGUAAUGUGGUGCAGGCUUCAGCGUGCAUGAAUAUUUCAAUAAUAAGCCUUUGUCUGUUAUUUCCCUGUCUCAGAGGAGAUAAAUCUCGCUGGACACAGUGACACUGGUGCAGCCUGUCCAUGCUGGGAGAGCAGGGCUUGUUCUCGUGGUGUAAGGACGGGGAUGUGGGGGCUCUCCAGAGGCUCGUCCUUUGCACAGCAGCCCUGGAGAAAAAUGCAAACCAGCUCCCGAUGCGUUUUGCAGCACGUAGAAGCUCAAGUAGGGGGGAAAUAUGGCUGGAGCAAUGAGCUUGAUGCUUUGUCAGUGAGGGAAGUCGGUGUACAAAGGAUAAAUAAAAGAUGCAGCUCUCUAAAUGCAAA
Anas platyrhynchos (mallard) is the source of this 3371-nucleotide non-coding RNA. Lineage: Eukaryota; Metazoa; Chordata; Aves; Anseriformes; Anatidae. The record is from RefSeq and is a predicted model, not a curated record.